CCGUUUUUUUUCAUCUUAAACAAUUUUCUAAUGUGAAUAUACAACGUUACCACGUAACUUGUGACAAAAAUCGUGACGUUACAUUAAAAGCUUGACAUAUGAAGGCAGUUAUGUUGUAUUCUUUUAAGUAUUUUAAUAUUCGAAUAUAAAACAACACGAUGUAUAAAAUGUGUAGUGGAUUAUAUUAAUAUUGAUUAGGAGUACCUACACAGACCUAUACUGCCAAGUACACUAUACUGAGUACUAGUUUUGCCUCUUCAGGGACCUUUCUAUCACCCCUUGGAGUAUGGUCGUUAGUAACGCUGCCAUUGUGGACUUUCUUGAUGACACCCACUGCAAUUCAUUUUCAAAACGCUGAUGUUGCUGGUCUCCUCGCUGCAACCCAGCGCUUACAGAUGGGACUGCUACAAGGUAAGUGUUCAUCUCACCUCCACUCACUCUCACCCAGAAAUUUUCUCAGUUAAGAAUGUCUCAGAAUGUUUUUCAUUUUUACGCUAUUUUUACUGUGCACAUAUCCAUCCCGAAUGGGAAUGAAACCCGCGACUGCUGCUGUUGAGGCGUU
Molecule: unclassified non-coding RNA, 562 nt
Filed under: Melitaea cinxia (Glanville fritillary)
Lineage: Eukaryota; Metazoa; Arthropoda; Insecta; Lepidoptera; Nymphalidae
Description: misc RNA ENSMCXG00005001432.1
Source: RNAcentral